UAAACAAGUAUGAGUAGACCCAUCAUUUAAGCAAAAAUCUUUUCAUAAAGUAAUUUAUGUUAUAAUUUUUCUAUGUAAACAUAAUAUCGUAUAUUAGGUUUUUUAAUCUAAUAGAUUUUCAGAGAGGUGAAUGUUUGUUUAGUCAUAAACUUUUUCAGUUUUUGACCUUUUUUUCCUACCUUUUCAAAGAAACCAUCAGAAUUAUUUGAACUUCAAGAAGAUGAAGCCCUACGAAGAGUGCAGUAUCUCCUCCUGUCUCGUCCAAUUGAUUAUAGUUCAAGAAUGCUGUUUGUAUUUGCAACAUCAACUACAACCGUAAGCUCUAGAAACUUAAUCCAAACUCUUCUGUGCAUCUCAGCUUAACAUUUUUUUCCUGUUUAUUUACCAUGCUUGAUUGCAUUAACAGAUGGUUCAGAUAAUGCUCACAUACAUAUGUAUUCAAAGUCUAUCUCAUCUCCUAAGCAAGCAUUGUCUUUUGCACCAUGCUCCAUUUAGUGCUGGCCUCUGUAACAUCUGCUUAGCGUGCUGAAUGGUGUACCUAUUGACAGUUUCCACUGGCUGUCUGCAUUCACAGUGGUUAACUCCCUAGUCACUCCACAUUCCUGAAGCCAGGAGCCAAUCAAACUGGCCACGAACAAGUCUCCACCAAGGCCACGAACAAGUCUCCACCAAGGCCUAAUCUGGCUGCGUGCUCUGGUCAGACCACCCCUUCUGCCCACUAAAUUCUAGCUAGAUUGAACUUGCAAUUUCCCCUAACGGGGCAACAUGACCUUUAGCUUCAGGUUCUUGCCUAUAGAACUGUCCUCUGAGGCAGUUGGAGCAGAGAGAGGAGAAGGGGGUGGAGCCAGUAGGCAAAAGAUUCUCAGAGAAAAGGAAGAAAAGGAAGUCUGAGGUGCUGAUUUUAAAGUCCGUGACAAAAAGGAAAAAGCCUCCCCUUUUUUCUCUACAUAUAAAGACCUACGACCUAAAAAUGGUAUUCCAUGAAAGGUGGCUAGUGCAGCUCACAGCUCAGCUGUGUACAUGCUUUUCCUUGCAGUCUGCCUUAUGUGUACUUCCCAUCAAUUAGUAUUAGCAUGUAUUCAAAUGGGAAUUCACAUUAGUAUGAUCUACAGUAAUCCCUCCAUAUCUGUGGGAGGACUGGUUCCAGGACCCCCAAGGAUACCAAAAUCUGAGGACGCUGAAGUCUUAUAUAAAAUGGUGUCGU
Molecule: small RNA, 1204 nt
Filed under: Pongo abelii (Sumatran orangutan)
Lineage: Eukaryota; Metazoa; Chordata; Mammalia; Primates; Hominidae
Description: retained intron
Source: RNAcentral